Long non-coding RNA from Pieris napi, 173 nucleotides. RefSeq lists it as uncharacterized. The transcript has 3 exons. NCBI's taxonomy places the organism in Eukaryota, Metazoa, Arthropoda, Insecta, Lepidoptera, Pieridae. The record is from RefSeq and is a predicted model, not a curated record.
UAUCCGCCCUCUGAACGAUUGGUUGAAUAAUUAGAUUGGUAUCUCAGUCCAUGUAUUGAAUAUUGGCAUGCUUUUCUUUAGAAAUGGAUUGAAUUGUCAGUCUAUGACAGCUAAAAUUGGAUUGAGAUUGCAUAUUGGUUUUGGCCGUUAGUCAACAACAGAUUUUUAUAUUU